GGAUUUUUUUGGAUAAUUUUUAUUUUUUAUUUGGGAGUAAAGGGUGGGAGGUAAAGGUUUAGGGGGAAAAUAAAAAGUUUUGGGGAGUAAAAGUUUGAGGAAAAGUAAAUAAGGGGGAGUAAAAUAUUGGAGGGAAAUAUUUUUAAAAUAUUUUUUUUCUUUUUGGGAGAGGGGGUUUGGGGUAGAUGAGGGGUGGGAUGGGAAGGGAGUAAAAGUUUUAGGGGAAAAGUGGGAGGGAGUAAAAAUUUUGGGGGAAAAUAAAAAGUUUUGAGGGUUUUUGGGAGUAAAAUUUUGAAGAAAAGUAAAUGGGAGAGAAAAUUUUUGGUGGGAAAUGGAUUUUGGGUAGAUGGGGGGUUGGUAUGGGAGGGGAGUAAAAGUUUUAG
This 383-nucleotide long non-coding RNA is filed under the name Gossypium raimondii (Peruvian cotton). RNAcentral describes it as "long non-coding RNA (GRAI_LNC009153)". The record is from RNAcentral. Lineage: Eukaryota; Viridiplantae; Streptophyta; Magnoliopsida; Malvales; Malvaceae.